UUAACUGUUUAGAUCAUAGACUUUUGAUCUGAUAAUAUCAAUAAAAUAAAAUGUUUUCAAAAAACAAAAAACAAAAACAUAACCAUAAAAUGGAGUUAUGGACUGAUUAUUGUCAGUUGUUUCCUUUCCCCUGUCUUUAUGCAUUGAUCAAUGCAAAAUCAUCUCUUAUACAAUGAGGCAACAUUGGAUGUUUGUGUCAUAUCUUCCAGAAGCAAAACCAAAAUUUAAUUUGAAACACUAGUGGAAUAAGCUGAGAUUUUAUAGGCACUUGCUUUUGUAAGGAAUAUGUGAACAUUAUUUCUUUCUUUUUUUCCAUGUGUUUAUGACAGGACGAUGACAUGUUUUCAUUGUUUGAAGCAGGAUGAUUUCAUCUUGCUAAUUUCCUUCCAGAGCAAACAGUUGUUAAAUUGAAACCAAGAGAAUUUCUAUUGGUAAAAUUUACCACUUAUUCGGUUUGUCUUACCAAUGUCAUAUGCUUUCUAUAAGGAAUCUAUUAACACCUAACUUCAUACUUCUUUUUGCAUGUCUUUAUUAGGAUUAUGGACUUUUUCUGAUAGUUUGAGAGAGAACAUACGGAUUUCAACAUGCCGAUGCCAUUGUGAAGUAGAGUACUAGAAUCGGUGGAUCGGAGGCUUUACUCUCAACAGUCUCAUCACUAUCUAUGUUACAGUUUGAUGGCAAUUCUAUGUGAGAGUUAAAUUUUGCUUUGAGUGUUCAAAUUCAAUAAAGACUAGCUGAUGAAAAUAAUUGAACAGCUUGACCUUUGGUUUCUUUUUAAGUAAAAUGACUGCAUAACAUGCAACUCUUUCACCUUCUUUUCUCAAGAAGUGAGCCUUGGUCUAGUGAUCUUGAAUUCAAGGUUAAUUGGCUUUUCAUUUAUUGCUAUGUUAUAUAUGAGGAAUGUGCUUUGUAUAGAAUCCUCAAUAUUUUUGCAUUGUUCUAACAUUUAAGAUUUUUCUUUUCCAUAGAAAAAGAAAAGAUGCCAAUGACUUGCCUGCCAACUCCCUUCCGGCCAUUUAUGAAAUGCAGGUAUUCUCAAAGCAUUGUCUAUUGCAUACAUGAUUCUAUAGGUUAAAGUUUCUUUAGUUUUUGUUCUUACUUUUUUGCAUAUCUUUAUCCUCAAUGCUUCUUCAUAACAAUGGGUUUUUUGACUAGUUAGCUAUGAAUGGAGUCAACCAACAAUUGCUAAGUAGUGGCUCGAGUGAUUGGGAGAACUGCCUGGAGAGCUGAGCUGGUUGGAAAACCCCUUUGCUUCUUUCAAAAUCAAUGUCAAAGUUCCAUCUUGGCCAUUCUUGGAGGUCUUUGAGCAGUGGCUUCAAUUCUAGUCUUUAGGCCUUUACUUAAUUAACCCAAACUGUUAAGGAGACCUAACCACAAAGGUUCUUUCAUAAUGUAGAUGUGGAAAAGACUUUUAGGAUACUAUUAUGGGAUUUAAUAUUUGCUACGUUUGGGUGCUGCAACUAUUGUAACCUCCUGCAUCAUAGUAAAAUCUCUUUUACCUUCGACCGUGGAUGUAGGUUAUUAAGCCGAACCACGUAAUUUCUCAUGUGUUUUAUUAUUUUA
Molecule: long non-coding RNA, 1563 nt
Filed under: Theobroma cacao (cacao)
Lineage: Eukaryota; Viridiplantae; Streptophyta; Magnoliopsida; Malvales; Malvaceae
Description: long non-coding RNA (TCAC_LNC004197)
Source: RNAcentral